UGGGGAAUAUUGGACAAUGGGCGAAAGCCUGAUCCAGCCAUGCCGCGUGUGUGAAGAAGGUCUUCGGAUUGUAAAGCACUUUAAGUUGGGAGGAAGGGCAGUUACCUAAUACGUGAUUGUUUUGACGUUACCGACAGAAUAAGCACCGGCUAACUCUGUGCCAGCAGCCGCGGUAAUACAGAGGGUGCAAGCGUUAAUCGGAAUUACUGGGCGUAAAGCGCGCGUAGGUGGUUUGUUAAGUUGGAUGUGAAAUCCCCGGGAUCAACCUGGGAACUGCAUUCAAAACUGACUGACUAGAGUAUGGUAGAGGGUGGUGGAAUUUCCUGUGUAGCGGUGAAAUGCGUAGAUAUAGGAAGGAACACCAGUGGCGAAGGCGACCACCUGGACUAAUACUGACACUGAGGUGCGAAAGCGUGGGGAGCAAACA
Molecule: ribosomal RNA, 427 nt
Filed under: uncultured bacterium
Lineage: Bacteria
Description: partial 16S ribosomal RNA
Rfam family: Bacterial small subunit ribosomal RNA
Source: RNAcentral